This 20-nucleotide microRNA is filed under the name Mus musculus (house mouse). RNAcentral's name for it is "mmu-miR-3086-5p". Lineage: Eukaryota; Metazoa; Chordata; Mammalia; Rodentia; Muridae. The record is from miRBase by way of RNAcentral.
UAGAUUGUAGGCCCAUUGGA